Molecule: unclassified non-coding RNA, 316 nt
Filed under: uncultured Leucothecium
Lineage: Eukaryota; Fungi; Ascomycota; Eurotiomycetes; Onygenales; Gymnoascaceae
Description: partial contains 5.8S ribosomal RNA, internal transcribed spacer 2, and large subunit ribosomal RNA
Rfam family: 5.8S ribosomal RNA (bases 1-102)
Source: RNAcentral
AUGCGAUAACUAAUGUGAAUUGCAGAAUUCCGUGAAUCAUCGAGUCUUUGAACGCAUAUUGCACCCUCUGGUAUUCCGGGGGGUAUAUCUGUCCGAGCGUCAUUACAACCUUAAAGCCCGGCUUUUUAUUGGAUUCUAGUUCCGCUCCGCGGGACGGGUCCGAAAUAGAUUAAUGACGUCGCGAUUACCACGGAAUCGAGCGAAUGGAAUCAUUAACGCUCUGUGUGAAGUGGCCGACGGUCUUCUGAAGCGGUUAGUUCUAAUCGUCUUUUUAACGGUUGACCUCGGAUCAGAUAAGGAUACCCGCUGAACUUAA